GACGAACGCUGGCGGCGUGCUUAACACAUGCAAGUCGAACGGAAAGGCCCUGCUUUUGUGGGGUGCUCGAGUGGCGAACGGGUGAGUAACACGUGAGUAACCUGCCCUUGACUUUGGGAUAACUUCAGGAAACUGGGGCUAAUACCGGAUAGGAGCUCCUGCUGCAUGGUGGGGGUUGGAAAGUUUCGGCGGUUGGGGAUGGACUCGCGGCUUAUCAGCUUGUUGGUGGGGUAGUGGCUUACCAAGGCUUUGACGGGUAGCCGGCCUGAGAGGGUGACCGGCCACAUGGGGACUGGGAUACGGCCCAGACUCCUCCGGGGGGCAGCGGGGGGGAAUUUUGCACAAGGGGCGGAAGCCUGAUGCAGCAACGCCGGGUGGGGGAUGACGGCCUUCGGGUUGUAAACCGUUUUCGCCGGUGACGAAGCGGGGGUGACGGUAAUGGGUAAAGAAGCACCGGCUAACUACGU
This 467-nucleotide ribosomal RNA is filed under the name uncultured bacterium. RNAcentral describes it as "partial 16S ribosomal RNA". It matches the Rfam family "Bacterial small subunit ribosomal RNA", at positions 28 to 506 of the family's 1533-position model. The record is from RNAcentral.